AUUGAACGCUGGCGGCAUGCCUUACACAUGCAAGUCGAACGGCAGCACGGGUGCUUGCACCUGGUGGCGAGUGGCGAACGGGUGAGUAAUACAUCGGAACGUACCUUAUCGUGGGGGAUAACGCAGCGAAAGCUGUGCUAAUACCGCAUACGCCCUGAGGGGGAAAGCGGGGGAUCGCAAGACCUCGCGCGAUUAGAGCGGCCGAUGCCUGAUUAGCUUGUUGGUGGGGUAAAAGCCCACCAAGGCGACGAUCAGUAGCUGGUCUGAGAGGACGAUCAGCCACACUGGGACUGAGACAGGGCCCAGGCUCCUACGGGAGGCAGCAGUGGGGAAUUUUGGACAAUGGGGGCAACCCUGAUCCAGCAAUGCCGCGUGAGUGAAGAAGGCCUUCGGGUUGUAAAGCUCUUUUGUCAGGGAAGAAACACCGGCUCUAACACAGUCCGGGAAUGACGGUACCUGAAGAAUAAGCACCGGCUAACUACGUGCCAGCCGCCGCAGUAA
This 501-nucleotide ribosomal RNA is filed under the name uncultured bacterium. RNAcentral describes it as "partial 16S ribosomal RNA". It matches the Rfam family "Bacterial small subunit ribosomal RNA", at positions 29 to 523 of the family's 1533-position model. The record is from RNAcentral.